UACGAAGGGGGCUAGCGUUGUUCGGAAUUACUGGGCGUAAAGCGCACGUAGGCGGCUCUGUAAGUUGGGGGUGAAAUCCCGAGGCUCAACCCCGGAAUUGCCUUCAAGACUACAGAGCUAGAGUAUGUGAGAGGAGAGUGGAAUUCCCAGUGUAGAGGUGAAAUUCGUAGAUAUUCGGAAGAACACCGGUGGCGAAGGCGACUGUCUGGCACAUUACUGACGCUGAGGUGCGAAAGCGUGGGGAGCAAACAGG
Molecule: ribosomal RNA, 253 nt
Filed under: uncultured bacterium
Lineage: Bacteria
Description: partial 16S ribosomal RNA
Rfam family: Bacterial small subunit ribosomal RNA
Source: RNAcentral